UACGAAGGGGGCUAGCGUUGCUCGGAAUGACUGGGCGUAAAGGGCGCGUAGGCGGCUCAUACAGUCAGAUGUGAAAUUCCUGGGCUUAACCUGGGGGCUGCAUUUGAUACGUGUGGGCUUGAGUGGGGAAGAGGGUCGUGGAAUUCCCAGUGUAGAGGUGAAAUUCGUAGAUAUUGGGAAGAACACCGGUGGCGAAGGCGGCGACCUGGUCCUUGACUGACGCUGAGGCGCGAAAGUGUGGGGAUCAAACAGG
Molecule: ribosomal RNA, 253 nt
Filed under: uncultured bacterium
Lineage: Bacteria
Description: partial 16S ribosomal RNA
Rfam family: Bacterial small subunit ribosomal RNA
Source: RNAcentral